GCUGUGGCGGUGGCGAUGGUGGAGGUGGUGGUGGUGGUGGUGGUGGACGGGGCGGUAAGGAAUGAUGAGGCUGCGUGGUGGUGGUCACACAGACACAACAUUACCGUAUAAGGCCGCCGCUGACCACGCGAGACUCGGGAGCAAAUGUACCAACAGCUGGCAUUAUUCUCAUCUCCAUCAUCUGCAUUCAUUCUGCGUAUCUAGCCUGCGCCAUAGCGGGUUCGCCUCCUGUGCUGCCAAUAGUGAGGCGAGGAGUGGUAUUAGGUGAUACGUCCACACACACGCACGCUUCAUGACCUGUAAGCAUGGGUGUUGCCCCCGUCAGGUGCUGAGUCGCCAGGAGCAGACGAGGGUGUGUCCCCAUCAUCUCAGGGACAGAAGGUUAGUGGAUGUGGAUGGCAGGGUGUGGGAGGCUGUGGGUUUUUGUGAUCACGUGCCAUAUUCUCAAGCGUCUUGGUAUUUUAUUUCGAUUAUAAUUGGCUGUAUCGGAAGUUAGGUACUGGAGGAGGUUUUCAAGGGUUGUUUUCACGGUUGUAGUGAUAGUUAUACAGGAAUGCUACUUUGUCAAAGAAAGAAACAUUGUGGUAACCUGAAUUUCUUUUGUUCUCAUGUUCGUAACCAAACAUAUCACACAGACAAGCACAGCUCAGCCAUGCACCAGUACCUACCUUUCCCCGCCAUACUAAAACCACUGCUCUCUGCGGCCUUUGAAGGUUGUUUUAAUGAGAGGACAUGAACGUUUUAGACUACAGGCCCACAUCUAAGGGGAAAUUCCUUUGACAUCUCACUCAAGGAAAAAAAUAAUAACUUUCCUGUUAUCAGGCACGCAGAACAGGUCUCAUGCAUGACUUGGACACACAUGGCUGGUUUUCCUACUGACAACGUAGAAUCCUUACUAACUUACCAAUAAAACAAUGAAAACGUCUUUGAAAAAAAAGCCUCAUUAACUUCCACUAGGACAUACAUGGCUGGUUUUCCUAUUGACAAAGUACAAUUCUUACUAAAACACUAAAAACAUAAAAACACCCUUGAAAAACCACAGUACCUUCCUCUAGAGUUUACCAGAAGUGCUUGAGAGAAGACGCUGAAACGUUUAAGAAUUCGAAGAAGGUAAAACUCAGAGCCUCAAGGAAUAGUUCAAUCUUGCCUCGUGUUGAAAUAUUACAUCUGAGGCCGCGGAUGUGUUCCCUGUAGCCGCCGUAAUGACGCUAUUCACCCCAGGUAAUUAACGCACCUGUUAGAAGUCUCCAGUCACGUGGUUGGCCGGUAAUUGAAGACGCGAUGCCGAGACAGGGCUAUAAAAGAGUUGCUAAUGUCAUGUUUCAUUGUGUUCACGACUUUAUUUGGCGAGCACUGAGAGGUUAGAGUCGGCUAAUGUGUUUCUCCUCCGUGAGCGGCAAGGCUUGGAGGGAGGGACGGAGGGACGAAGGGAGGGAAAAAAACACAACUCGUUAAAAAAUGAAAAGUCAAGUCUCUCUUCGUCUCUCUCACUGUGUUGGUAGAUUGUACAAUAGUGCGUCGAGGGGCUGGCCUGUAAAACUGUCUGAUGGUACAUACGAUAGUGCUGACUGGUGAAAAGCCCGCGAAUUAAUGUGACUUGGAGAGAGAGAGAGAGAGAGAGAGAGAGAGAGAGAGAGAGAGAGAGAGAGAGAGAGAGAGAGAGAGAGAGAGAGAGAGAGAGAGAGAGAGAAAUUUCAUUCACCGACCCUAAAAAAAAUACAAAUAUACACAAAAGUUUACCUUAACCCAUGUUCCAUUGCAUUAAAACUUCCAUAAACGUAAUUUAGAAACGCUGUAGCACUGGU
This is a long non-coding RNA of Scylla paramamosain (green mud crab), 1805 nucleotides long. RefSeq lists it as uncharacterized. The record is from RefSeq and is a predicted model, not a curated record. Lineage: Eukaryota; Metazoa; Arthropoda; Malacostraca; Decapoda; Portunidae. The transcript has 3 exons.